UGGGGAAUUUUGGACAAUGGGGGCAACCCUGAUCCAGCCAUCCCGCGUGUGCGAUGAAGGCCUUCGGGUUGUAAAGCACUUUUGGCAGGGAAGAAACAGCCUGGGAUAAUACCCCGGGCGACUGACGGUACCUGCAGAAUAAGCACCGGCUAACUACGUGCCAGCAGCCGCGGUAAUACGUAGGGUGCAAGCGUUAAUCGGAAUUACUGGGCGUAAAGCGUGCGCAGGCGGUUCGGAAAGAAAGGUGUGAAUCCCAGGGCUUAACCUUGGAACUGCACUUUUAACUACCGAGCUAGAGUACGUCAGAGGGGGGUAGAAUUCCACGUGUAGCAGUGAAAUGCGUAGAGAUGUGGAGGAAUACCGAUGGCGAAGGCAGCCCCCUGGGAUGAUACUGACGCUCAUGCACGAAAGCGUGGGGAGCAAACAGGAUUAGAUACCCUGGUAGUCCACGCCCUAAACGAUGUCAACUAGCUGUUGGGGCUUUAUUAACCUUAGUAGCGCAGCUAACGCGUGAAGUUGACCGCCUGGGGAGUACGGUCGCAAGAUUAAAACUUAAAGUGAAUUGACGGGGGUCAUAGCUGUUUCCAU
Molecule: ribosomal RNA, 588 nt
Filed under: uncultured bacterium
Lineage: Bacteria
Description: partial 16S ribosomal RNA
Rfam family: Bacterial small subunit ribosomal RNA
Source: RNAcentral